GGGGGCAUAGCUCAGUCUGGUAGAGCACCGCCCUUUUAAGGCGGGUGUCGAUGGUUCGAAUCCAUCUGCCCUCA
This 74-nucleotide transfer RNA is filed under the name Candidatus Omnitrophota bacterium. RNAcentral describes it as "Candidatus Omnitrophica bacterium (groundwater metagenome) tRNA-Lys". It matches the Rfam family "tRNA". From Rfam's summary of the family: Transfer RNA (tRNA) molecules are approximately 80 nucleotides in length. Their secondary structure includes four short double-helical elements and three loops (D, anti-codon, and T loops). The record is from RNAcentral. Lineage: Bacteria; Pseudomonadati; Candidatus Omnitrophota.